This 831-nucleotide ribosomal RNA is filed under the name uncultured bacterium. RNAcentral describes it as "bacterial SSU rRNA". It matches the Rfam family "Bacterial small subunit ribosomal RNA", at positions 542 to 1372 of the family's 1533-position model. The record is from RNAcentral.
UAAUCGGAAUUACUGGGCGUAAAGGGAGCGUAGGUGGCUCGACAAGUCAGAUGUGAAAUCCCCGGGCUCAACCUGGGAACUGCAUCUGAUACUGUUGAGCUAGAGUAUGUGAGAGGAAGGUAGAAUUCCAGGUGUAGCGGUGAAAUGCGUAGAGAUCUGGAGGAAUACCGAUGGCGAAGGCAGCCUUCUGGCAUAAUACUGACACUGAGGCUCGAAAGCGUGGGUAGCAAACAGGAUUAGAUACCCUGGUAGUCCACGCCGUAAACGAUGUCUACUAGUCGUUGGGUCCCUUGAGGACUUAGUGACGCAGCUAACGCAAUAAGUAGACCGCCUGGGGAGUACGGCCGCAAGGUUAAAACUCAAAUGAAUUGACGGGGGCCCGCACAAGCGGUGGAGCAUGUGGUUUAAUUCGAUGCAACGCGAAGAACCUUACCUGGUCUUGACAUAUCUAGAAUCCUGCAGAGAUGCGGGAGUGCCUUCGGGAAUUAGAAUACAGGUGCUGCAUGGCUGUCGUCAGCUCGUGUCGUGAGAUGUUGGGUUAAGUCCCGCAACGAGCGCAACCCUUGUCCUUAGUUACCAGCGGGUUAAGCCGGGAACUCUAAGGAUACUGCCAGUGACUAACUGGAGGAAGGCGGGGACGACGUCAAGUCAUCAUGGCCCUUACGACCAGGGCUACACACGUGCUACAAUGGUAGGUACAGAGGGCAGCUACACAGCGAUGUGAUGCGAAUCUCAAAAAGCCUAUCGUAGUCCAGAUUGGAGUCUGCAACUCGACUCCAUGAAGUAGGAAUCGCUAGUAAUCGCGGAUCAGAAUGCCGCGGUGAAUACGUU